This 330-nucleotide ribosomal RNA is filed under the name uncultured Actinomycetes bacterium. Its description in RNAcentral is "bacterial SSU rRNA". It matches the Rfam family "Bacterial small subunit ribosomal RNA", at positions 28 to 351 of the family's 1533-position model. The record is from RNAcentral. Lineage: Bacteria; Bacillati; Actinomycetota; Actinomycetes.
GACAAACGCUGGCGGCGUGCUUAACACAUGCAAGUCGAGCGCGAAAGGAGCUUCGGCUCUGAGUAAAGCGGCGAACGGGUGAGUAACACGUGGGCAACCUGCCUCAAGGACUGGGAUAACUCCGGGAAACCGGGGCUAAUACCGGGCGAUGUCGUCUGGCGCAAGCCAGCCGACCAAAUGGUAGCUUCGGCUUCCGCCUUGAGAUGGGCCCGCGUCCUAUCAGCUUGUUGGUGAGGUAACGGCUCACCAAGGCGACGACGGGUAGCUGGUCUGAGAGGAUGAUCAGCCACACUGGGACUGAGAUACGGCCCAGACUCCUACGGGUGGCAG